This 120-nucleotide ribosomal RNA is filed under the name Neotoma lepida (desert woodrat). Lineage: Eukaryota; Metazoa; Chordata; Mammalia; Rodentia; Cricetidae. The record is from RNAcentral.
GUCUAUAGCCAUUUAACCAUGAAUGUGUCCAAUCUUGGUUGAUCUCAGCAGCUAAGCAGGGUUGGGCCUGAUUAGUAACUUAGAUGGGAAAUUAUUUGGGAAUAUUAGAUGCAAUAGGCU